This 117-nucleotide non-coding RNA is filed under the name Fulvimarina manganoxydans. Its description in RNAcentral is "TPP sequence". It matches the Rfam family "TPP riboswitch aptamer (THI element)". From Rfam's summary of the family: Vitamin B(1) in its active form thiamin pyrophosphate (TPP) is an essential coenzyme that is synthesised by coupling of pyrimidine and thiazole moieties in bacteria. The previously detected thiamin-regulatory element, thi box was extended, resulting in a new, highly conserved RNA secondary structure, the THI element, which is widely distributed in eubacteria and also occurs in some archaea. Lineage: Bacteria; Pseudomonadati; Pseudomonadota; Alphaproteobacteria; Hyphomicrobiales; Aurantimonadaceae. The record is from Rfam by way of RNAcentral.
AUCCCAUCCAAGGGGAGGUCCGGCAGGGACCUGAGAGGCCGACGGGAGCGAUCCGCGCGGCGACCCUUCGAACCUGAUCCAGUUCAUACUGGCGUAGGGAUGGGAAGCCGGACAGCG